Molecule: ribosomal RNA, 2920 nt
Filed under: Lactiplantibacillus plantarum WCFS1
Lineage: Bacteria; Bacillati; Bacillota; Bacilli; Lactobacillales; Lactobacillaceae
Description: bacterial LSU rRNA
Rfam family: Bacterial large subunit ribosomal RNA
Source: RNAcentral
UUAAGUUAACAAGGGCGCAUGGUGAAUGCCUUGGCACUAGGAGCCGAUGAAGGACGGGACUAACACCGAUAUGCUUCGGGGAGCUGUACGUAAGCUAUGAUCCGGAGAUUUCCGAAUGGGGCAACCCAGCAGUUUUAAUCAACUGUUACCACUAGAUGAAUUCAUAGUCUAGUUGGAGGUAAACGCUGUGAACUGAAACAUCUCAUUAGCAGCAGGAAUAUAAAGAAAUUUCGAUUCCCUAAGUAGCGGCGAGCGAACGGGGAACAGCCCAAACCAAAGUGCUUGCACUUUGGGGUUGUAGGACUGAACAUUUGAGUUACCAAAGAACUUGAUAGUCGAAGGAUUUGGGAAAAUCCGCCAUAGAUGGUGAUAGCCCAGUAGAUUAAAUCAAAUUCUCUCAGUUCAGGAUCCUGAGUACGGCGGAACACGUGAAAUUCCGUCGGAAUCCGGGAGGACCAUCUCCCAAGGCUAAAUACUACCUAGUGACCGAUAGUGAACCAGUACCGUGAGGGAAAGGUGAAAAGCACCCCGGGAGGGGAGUGAAAUAGUUCCUGAAACCAUGUGCCUACAAUAAGUCAGAGCGCGUUAAUGCGUGAUGGCGUGCCUUUUGUAGAAUGAACCGGCGAGUUAUGAUCCCGUGCAAGGUUAAGACUAAAAAGUCGGAGCCGUAGCGAAAGCGAGUCUGAAAUGGGCGUUUUGAGUACGAGGUUAUAGACCCGAAACCAGGUGACCUAUCCAUGUCCAGGUUGAAGGUGCGGUAAAACGCACUGGAGGACCGAACCCGUGUAAGUUGAAAAUUGCUGGGAUGAGGUGUGGAUAGCGGUGAAAUUCCAAACGAACUUGGAGAUAGCUGGUUCUCUCCGAAAUAGCUUUAGGGCUAGCCUCGGAAUUAGGAUCAUGGAGGUAGAGCACUAUUUGGACUAGGGGCCCGUCUUGGGUUACUGAAUUCAGAUAAACUCCGAAUGCCAUUGAUUCAUAUCCGGGAGUCAGACGAUGAGUGAUAAGAUCCACCGUCGAAAGGGGAACAGCCCAGACCAUCAGUUAAGGUCCCUAAAUGUAUGCUAAGUGGAAAAGGAUGUGGAGUUGCAUAGACAACUAGGAUGUUGGCUCAGAAGCAGCCACCAUUUAAAGAGUGCGUAAUAGCUCACUAGUCGAGUGAUCCUGCGCCGAAAAUGUACCGGGGCUAAGCAUACUACCGAAACCAUGGAUGCGACCAUUAGGUCGCGUGAUAGGAGAGCGUUCUAAGGGCGGUGAAGCAAGAUCGUGAGGACUUGUGGAGCGCUUAGAAGUGAGAAUGCCGGUAUGAGUAGCGAAAGAUAGGUGAGAAUCCUAUCCACCGAAUGACUAAGGUUUCCUGGGGAAGGCUCGUCCUCCCAGGGUUAGUCGGGACCUAAGUCGAGGCCGAGAAGCGUAGACGAUGGAUAACAGGUUGAGAUUCCUGUACUAGUUAAGUGCGUUUGAGCAAUGGAGGGACGCAGGAGGCUAAGAUGUGCAUUCUGUUGGAUUAGAAUGUCCAAGCAGUAAGUCUUGUGAAGAGUCAAAUGCUUUUCACUUUAAGGACAAGCUGUGAUGGGGAGCGAAAUUUAGUAGCGAAGCGUCUGAUGUCACACUGCCGAGAAAAGCUUCUAGUGAGUACUUAACUACCCGUACCGCAAACCGACACAGGUAGUCGAGGAGAGAAUCCUAAGGUGAGCGAGUGAACUCUCGUUAAGGAACUCGGCAAAAUGACCCCGUAACUUCGGGAGAAGGGGUGCUGAUCGCAAGAUCAGCCGCAGUGAAUAGGCCCAGGCGACUGUUUAUCAAAAACACAGGUCUCUGCAAAAUCGUAAGAUGACGUAUAGGGGCUGACGCCUGCCCGGUGCUGGAAGGUUAAAAGGAUGGGUUAGCUUCGGCGAAGCUCAGAAUUGAAGCCCCAGUAAACGGCGGCCGUAACUAUAACGGUCCUAAGGUAGCGAAAUUCCUUGUCGGGUAAGUUCCGACCCGCACGAAAGGCGUAACGAUCUGGGCACUGUCUCAACGAGAGACUCGGUGAAAUUAUAUUGUCCGUGAAGAUGCGGACUACCCGCGACAGGACGGAAAGACCCCAUGGAGCUUUACUGUAGCUUGAUAUUGAGUGUUUGUACAGCUUGUACAGGAUAGGUAGGAGCCAUAGAAACCGGAACGCUAGUUUCGGUGGAGGCGUUGGUGGGAUACUACCCUCGCUGUAUGACCACUCUAACCCGCACCACUAAUCGUGGUGGGAGACAGUGUCAGGUGGGCAGUUUGACUGGGGCGGUCGCCUCCUAAAAAGUAACGGAGGCGCCCAAAGGUUCCCUCAGAAUGGUUGGAAAUCAUUCGCAGAGUGUAAAGGCACAAGGGAGCUUGACUGCGAGACAGACAGGUCGAGCAGGGACGAAAGUCGGGCUUAGUGAUCCGGUGGUACCGUAUGGAAGGGCCAUCGCUCAACGGAUAAAAGCUACCCUGGGGAUAACAGGCUUAUCUCCCCCAAGAGUCCACAUCGACGGGGAGGUUUGGCACCUCGAUGUCGGCUCAUCGCAUCCUGGGGCUGUAGUCGGUCCCAAGGGUUGGGCUGUUCGCCCAUUAAAGCGGUACGCGAGCUGGGUUCAGAACGUCGUGAGACAGUUCGGUCCCUAUCCGUCGCGGGCGUAGGAAAUUUGAGAGGACCUGUCCUUAGUACGAGAGGACCGGGAUGGACAUACCUCUGGUGUACCAGUUGUGCCGCCAGGCGCAUCGCUGGGUAGCUACGUAUGGAUGUGAUAAACGCUGAAAGCAUCUAAGUGUGAAACACACCUCGAGAUGAGAUUUCCCAUUCCUUUAUGGAAGUAAGACCCCUGAAAGAUGAUCAGGUAGAUAGGUUAGAAGUGGCAGUGCGGUGACGCAUGAAGCGGACUAAUACUAAUCGGUCGAGGACUUAACCAAG